RNAcentral lists this ribosomal RNA (440 nucleotides) under Chersoiulus sphinx. RNAcentral's name for it is "partial small subunit ribosomal RNA". The record is from RNAcentral. Lineage: Eukaryota; Metazoa; Arthropoda; Diplopoda; Julida; Julidae.
AUGGCUUCUUGAAAAUUACUAUUUUAAUAAGAAGUUUAACCUGCACACUGAAAUAUUAAAGAGCUGCAGUAUUGUGACUGUACAAAGGUAGCAUAAUCAUUAGUCUUUUAAUUGGGGACUAGAAUGAAAGGUUGGACAAAAGGUUUCUAUUUUAUUUAAAAUAUUGAAUUUAACUUUUCUGUAAUAAGGCAGAAGUAGAAAUAAAAGACAAGAAGACCCUUUAAAAUUAAUUUAAUUGUGGUUUCUUUAUUAAUGUAAUAACAAAAUAAUAAUUAUAUUAAGUUUUGCUGGGGCGGUAAAUAUUAUAAACGAUAAUAAAGAUAAAUAUAUUAUUAUUAGCUAUUAUUUGAUCCUAAGGUAGAAAGUAAAAAAGAAAAAGUUACUAAAGGGAUAACAGCGUUAUAAUAUUUAAGAGUUCUUAUUGACAAUAUUGUUUGCGA